UGGGGAAUAUUGCACAAUGGAGGGAACUCUGAUGCAGCGACGCCGCGUGAACGAAGAAGGCUUUCGAGUCGUAAAGUUCUUUUAUAUGGGAAGAUAAUGACGGUACCAUAAGAAAAAGCCCCGGCUAACUACGUGCCAGCAGCCGCGGUAAUACGUAGGGGGCGAGCGUUGUCCGGAAUUAUUGGGCGUAAAGGGUACGUAGGCGGUCUAUUAAGUCAGGUGUGAAAGCGUGAGGCUUAACCUCAUUAAGCACUUGAAACUGAUAGACUUGAGUGAAGGAGAGGAAAGUGGAAUUCCUAGUGUAGCGGUGAAAUGCGUAGAUAUUAGGAGGAAUACCGGUGGCGAAGGCGACUUUCUGGACUUUUACUGACGCUCAGGUACGAAAGCGUGGGGAGCAAACAGG
Molecule: ribosomal RNA, 403 nt
Filed under: Verrucomicrobiota bacterium
Lineage: Bacteria; Pseudomonadati; Verrucomicrobiota
Description: Verrucomicrobia bacterium partial 16S ribosomal RNA
Rfam family: Bacterial small subunit ribosomal RNA
Source: RNAcentral